Molecule: RNA transcript, 9494 nt
Organism: Mirounga angustirostris (Northern elephant seal)
Lineage: Eukaryota; Metazoa; Chordata; Mammalia; Carnivora; Phocidae
Gene name: NEDD4-binding protein 2-like 2
Exons: 6
Source: RefSeq, a predicted model, not a curated record
GUAAGCGCGAGGUGGCAGCCAUCUUGCGUACGGCGGUGCAGUUUCCUAGAUGCUGAGGGUUUGGGUGUUAGUUUCUCUGUGCUUUGGGGUGUGUUUUUGCGCUUUGCUUUCACAUUUUCAGAUGUUCGUAUCUUUCUAGACCACGAUUUUAUUGGGAGGUAAAAGUCAAUGUAGUGUAAGAUGCCUUAUGGUGAAAUUGAAGCGAAAUCCUUGGAUCAUGGUGAAGAACUAACAGGUGAACCAUGCUAUAAAAAACUGAAGUCAACUGAAGAGGCUUAUGUUUUCUCCCAUCAUGGUAGUGCUAAUUUUCACAGAAUCCAAGAGAAAACUGGGAAUGAUUGGGUCCCUGUGACCAUUGUUGAUGUCAGAGGGCAUAGUUAUCCUCAGGAGGACACCACCAAAACUACAGACUUGGUGAAACCUGUGCAUGAUGAGAUUCCUGGUAAUAGUAGAUCACAUGUUAUUGAAUCCAUUGAUCCACAAGUUUUACAGGAUGCAAGUCCUGCAUUGGUAUCCAAAGAUGAUGAGAUAUAUAGCACAAGUAAAGCAUUUAUAGGACCCAUUUACAAACCUCCUGAGAAGAAGAAAUGUAAUGAAAGGGGAAAUCACUCAGAUGCAAUCAGUGGUACAGAUGGCAAAGGAGGACAAGAACAGAAACAGAAAUUCAACUCCAAAAAAUCAGAGCUUGACAGCGAAUUAUUCCAGUUUUACAAGGAAAUUGAAGAGCUUGAAAAUGAAAAAGAUGAUUUGGAAGGCAGUUGUAAAGAACCCAAACCCUCUGAGGAAAAACUUAUUACGCAUUAUCAGGACCAUUAUAAUGAGCUGUUAAAAUCUGAAGAAGGAAAGGAAAGAGAUACUAGUAAUGUUCUUCAGUCACAUUGUGGUUUUCAGCAACAGGUGGAGAAUGAACCAGGCAAAUAUCCUUGUAAUGGACAAGUAAUACCUGCAUUUUGUGAAGAUUCGUUAAUUUCCUUCAGGCCUGAAUGGCAGUCAGUGCAUUAUUUUAUAGUACCCCAAGGUCCUCCUCCUCCCAGUUUUAACUGUCAUUUAAAUAUGCAAAGAUUUAGUGCUCCACUAAAUCCACCAUCAAAUAUUUUCCAUGCUCCAGAUGGGUCUCAGCAUCAAAAUGGGUAUUAUGUAAAUAGUUGUCACAUUAACUGGCAUUGUUUGACUUUUGAUCAGAACAAUGACUAUAUUGACUGUAGUGAGAAUACCAAUAGAGAUCAUUCCUCUACAAAUGGUUACAGUGUGCAAGAUGCAUAUGUGAGUAAUGGUUUCUGUGAAACCAGGGAAGGAUGCUGGAAAGAUCCUUCUAUGGACAAGCAUAAUGGAACAGACAGGCUUAUGAACCAGCAGUUUCAAGAUGAAAAGUUAAAUAAAUUGCAGAAGUUACUUAUUCUUUUAAGAGGUUUGCCUGGUUCUGGGAAAACAACGUUGUCUCGAAUUCUGCUUGGUCAGAGUCGUGAUGGCAUUGUAUUCAGCACUGAUGACUAUUUUCACCAUCAAGAUGGGUACAGCAAAACAAGCUAUCAAUCAGGGGAGAUCUCCAGUUAUAAUAGACAACACUAAUACACAAGCUUGGGAAAUGAAACCAUAUGUGGAAAUGGCCAUAGGAAAAGGAUACAGAGUAGAGUUUCAUGAACCUGAAACUUGGUGGAAAUUUGAUCCUGAAGAAUUAGAAAAGAGGAAUAAACAUGGUGUAUCUCGAAAGAAGAUUGCUCAGAUGUUGGAUCGUUACGAAUAUGAAAUGUCCAUCUCUAUUGUAAUGAAUUCAGUGGAACCGUCACACAAAAGCACACAAAGACCUCCUCCUUCACAGGGGAGACAGAGGUGGGGAGGCUCUCUAGGCUCACAUAAUCAAGUCUCUGUUACAAAUAAUCAUUAAACUGGCUGUUUUCAGCUAACACAUUUGUUGCUUGCCCUUGAAAAAAAUUAGUGAGCCUAUCUUGAAGUUUAAAUAGUUUCAAAUUUAAAAAAAAGACUAUGUUGCCUCACAAAGGAUGUUCCCAGCAAGUUGUCUAAAUCCUAAAGUGUAAAUAAAAAUUAUAUAAAAUUGUUUUUUAAAUGUUUUUAUAAUUUUUGUUGUUAAUCCCUUGGGUUAUUAUGAAAACACCUUAGUAGAGUUGGGUAGGACUAGAAUAGUUUUUCUACAACUGAAUUUUAAACUAAUUGUAUCUGUUUUGUAGAUAAUAUUGGGUAGUUUUAUAGCUCAUACCUAAAUCUAACUUUUCAUAAAAUACUAGUAUUUUUUCUUAACUACCUUAAAUAUAUAAGAAAUACUUGAUAUAGGCACCUCUGUUGAUUUUUCUAUUCAUUAUACAGGUAAAAUUAUGUUUCUGCAAAUUCAUCUAUAUGACAAAAAUAUUUCUAAGCUAUAAUUAGCAUAUCACUUAAAUUCUCCAUCAAAUGCUAUAUAGCAGUAGGUGUAUCAACCACCUGGGUGGUUUUCUCCAUAAUAUACAUUUUCAUAAUAUAUAGUAUAUCCAUAUUCAUCACCCUUCUCAAACCAUCCCCCUAUCCCUCCACACUCUCCGGUUCUGGAAUGGAUAAAUAGGGAAAUCACUGUAUACUUAGAAAAAGCUUUUCAGGUUAUUCUGAUAAUAUAUCACUUCACUUUAUUUAACAUUGUAUAAUUCUAAUAUAAAAAAAUAUUUUGGACAGGUCCUUAGCAUUAAUUGUAAGAUUUUUCUUGCAGGAUAUUUUAUUUCUCCUGGUUUCAGUUUUUUUGUAGACCAACUAUAUGUCUCAUUGGAUAGUUUUCUUUAUUAGAUUGUGUUUUGUCACUUAAAAUUUAGAAACUGAGAUGGAAUUCAUUUCUGAGAUUUUGUAAUUCAUCCUCAUCUUUGAUUUGCUCUUUUUAAGGAAGAAACCCUAGCUAGUUAUUUGCUAUUAAAAAAAAAUGUUAUGAUCCUUCAGAUGUUUUACAUGGUAAUAUUUCAUGGCCCAUUUACUUCCUCCUAACCCAGCCCAUCCUAAAUCUAGUAAUUUUUCUUCAUAUGUUGUUUAAAUCUUUUGCUGUUCUUUUCAACCUUACUUUAAAUGUUCUCCCACAUCUAUAUAUUACUUUUCAAGUAAUACUAAGUGCAAGUCUCAAAACUAAAUACAGUACUCUGAACAAGGUCUAUCACAUUGCUUUUAGUGAGAUAAGAAUAUGAUUUCUAUUUAUUUGUACUAUUCACUGCUGUUUACAUUUGAAUGGGUAUUACUUUGCUUUAUUUUGUUUAACAUGUGUGUUUGUAUGUAUUCAUCUUAACUAAAUAUGAUACAGUAAAUAUGCUAACUCAUGUUUUGUGUGUAAAUGUAUAUAUAUUUAUACAUAUACACAUUUUCUUCAUCCACUAUUUUCAUGUAUUCUUUUGUUUCAGAGUAAUACUUCUUGGUAUUUAGGCUUGUGUUUUUCUAGUAUUUUAUUAUGUACAUUAGCACAUUUUGAAAAUAGUACAGAAGGAUUUAAUUUGGGGACAGAUGAGACAACUGUCAGAUGUAUACUGUGUGUUCCUUUCCCUCUGUCUUUAUAAAACUGUUAGGAGUAAUAGUGUUAUGAAUCUAUAGUUUUUGAUUAAUAGAUGCUUAAUUAGCCAAAUUUAUUUUAAGGAAGUAGAGAAUUGCCUUUGAAAGAUACAUAUUAUAAAGAAAUAUGUUCAUGUUAGUAAGUCUGAAGUAAAUUUCCAGAUUUUAUUAUGGACCAACUUCAUCUUUUAGUACUUCUGAGUACUUAAAUAAUCAUGCAGAGAUCAUUAAUCAUUGCUGAUUUUUUUUUGGUAUAAAUCCAUACUAGGCAGGGAAAUUAACAUUCUGAAAAGGUUUGAAGGUUGUUUUUUUUUAAAGACAGAAAAUUAAUAGUUCCUCUAAGCAUAUUAAAUUAAUAUGGUUCCCCAUUAGCAUUCUGGUUAAUUUUUUUAUUUUUUGAACAAUAACAAGCAUGAAUAUGCAAUGAAAGAUACCAGAAUCACUGUUACAAGUCAUUGCUUUGGUUUUAAGUCUAUAAAAAUCUUUAAAAAUCAAAAAAUUUACUGAUUAAAGAUAUUUCUCAAAAUUUUUCUUGUAUUCAGAUCUUGUUUUUUUAUGCCCCCAGUUAUAUUCUUAAUGGAAUAGCCCCCAGUUCCUAUGCCCCAUUUUAAGUUGAUCUCCAUCCCAAACAAUAAACGUGGGGCAUUAGUCAUCAUAUUUAACUAAGAUAAAAUACAUUUAGUUAAGUAGAAUGCAGCUUAACCUAAGUUGUUUUUUCAUAGGCUUGGUAUAAAAACCACUUCCUUUUUGAUAAGCAAAUUUAUAGUUUUCUGUAUGUCAUAAUCCUGCUAGCAAAAAUACUUAAUGUGGUAAUUAAGUUGAACUAAUGGUACUGCUUUUUAAAUAGAUAAUCUUUAUUUUCAGUAUUCACCUUUUCAAAAGAAAAUUAACUUUUUAAUAUUUUAUGUCUGUUUUAAAGUAAGAUUGUUUAUAAAAGAUUGGGUUGUAUUUUGUUGGAGCAGUAGGGUGGAUUUAAGUAUUUGAAGUUUGGUUAUUUCUUGUCUAAUAUAGACUCUCGAAUUUUCUAGUCUUAUGUAUAGAUAAGUUUUGAAAGAGUUCAUGAUUUCAAAGGAUAUGAAAUCUUUAUUUUGACCACAUUCGAGUUUUUGUUAUUGCAGAAAUAUCUGAUUUUCUGAGCCUGGUUUUAUAAGUAUUUAUAAAGAAAAUUGGUGGUGUUCUCUUUGGAAAAUAUUGAAGAAAUGUGGUUGUUUAUAUAUUAGUGCCUUGAUCGUAUAGGUUUGCUAGUCUUUAUUGAAAUUUUAUGUAGUAUUCUAACAUGAAUGCAGUAACUGAGAAUUUGUUCUUAGGGCCUAAGAUUUGUGUGUGUGUGUGUGUGUGAUUGUUUUAACAUUUGCAACUCAUUAAAUAGAGUAAACACCUUAGUCUAGAAUCAUAACAAAGCAUGGUUUAGUUUUGUUAUAAUGACCAUUCAGAAUAAAUAUUUGGUGGUAGCAGAAAAAGAAGAUUGAGUUAAUGGUUUCAGAGUUAAGUUUUAUAGGUUACAAUUUAUAAAUAAAAUUUUUUUCUAUUAAAAUUGUUAGAUGUAAUUCUUGUGAAUUUACAGAGGAAGGAGAGAUUGUGUUAAAGUAAUGAAUAUCUCCCUUUUGAUGGUUUUCUUUCUCUUUAUUAAGAUUGGCAUACCAAUUUUUAUUUUAUUUUUAAGAUUAAGGUCUUAUUAAAAUAAUUGGUCUCCUUUUAUGUCCUUAAAAUGUCCUUAGGAUGGUAAAAGGUACUGUUUAGUUUGUUCAAUGACAUAAGUUCUGAAAGAGGAGUAGUGAUUUUCUUUUGCAUCUUUCUGAUUCCUUUUUUCAUAUUUAAAACAACAUGUAAAUUAACUCAGUUGAUUCAAAUUGCUAAGUGUCUUAAGUCUAAAAAAUGUUCACUUUUUGCAUGGUUUGUAAAUUGCAAACCUUGAAAAUUUAUAAUGUUUGCAGUUAGGUUCAGAAAACUUGUAAUAGAUUGGUUAUCAUUUACAUUCAAUAUCUUUAUUUACAUUUGCAUUACACUAGAAGGCAUAAGUUUUAUAAUAGAAUAUACAAUUGUGAGCUUAAUUUUUAAUAUAUCUUCUGUGGAAAUUCUUAACACAUUGUCACUGUCAAAUUGUGCACAGAAACAAGGGGAAACACUAGCACAAAUAACUUUUUGAAGAGAGAGCCUCAAGCUAAGGCUGUGUCUGUUGGAAAAUUUUUACUUUGGGUGCAUUUAAUAAAAGUUUAUUUUAGUAAUUUAGAUUAGAAAUAAUCUUUCUCCUUUUUCCUAACAAAUUUUGUUCUCUGAAUGAUAGCCAUGUUGCGUUCCAGGUGUGAUAAUUGUGGUAAUCAUGUAUUAUAAUACACUUCCCAGUAUAGGACCCAUUAACUUCAGGAAGCUGUCUUAAAUUUAAGUAUGAAUAAAAUAGAUUCUUUUAUUUAGCAUGGACACAGUUACAGUUUGUCUCCUAAUCUUAGAACAAGACAAAAUCACAUUAACAAGCAUUAUCCCUACUUUGGUGAGUAACUGAAGACUUCAUCUGGGAGUGUCUUCCAGUUGUAAAAAAUGUAUUUUUAAUUGAAUUUUUUGUAAAUUAUUGGGAAGACGGAGAGAUUUUUAAGGUGACCUAGGGUUUUUUUGCCUUUAAACUUAUUAGUAACUAAGGGAAAAAAAGAGUAAUGUGUUCAUUCAUGGUUCAAAUUGUGUUCAAAUUCAGUAGAGUCCAUUGAAAUACACUUUAUUUUGAUUAUUUUCUUGUUUUGCAGUUUUAACUGCAUUCUCGGGUAGGACAUAUAAAAUCAAGGUUUUACCCUUGAGGUUAGUUCAUCUACAACUGUUAAUUACAGUUGUACAACUCUGUAGUGUGUCUUCAAUUAUAAUCCUGAACUCUUAAGUUUUUAUAGUAUAAAGAAAUGAAAUUUGAUUUUGGGAAGGGAUUGUGGGUUCUUCCUCUGCCUUUAUUAUUUUUUCUUUCUUAAUAGUAUUAUAAAUCAUGUUUCUUGUUUCUUUCAUAAUCUUUUCCUGUACAUAUUUUUUUUCUUCUGUCCAUUUUCUGCUCAGCCAUCCUUGUGUAACUGCAUAACGUUUUUAAUGAAGAUGGUGGGAUGGUAAGUGGCUGACAAAAAUGGAGGUAACUCUUUCCCUCCUGUUUCAGUGAACUCAUUGUUCCUUAGGAACCUUAUAUAAUUAACCAUGUUAUAUUUACAGACCAGCAGCUUUGCGGUUGGUUUCCUAACCCUGCCAUUUAGUUAGAACUUAGAUAUGAAAAUGCUUGGAAAGAUUUAUAAAAGUCUAACAAUGUGUUACUCAUUAGUUAAGAAUCCCAUAAACAUGGCAUAGUACUUGGAUGUAUGAAUUCAAGAAAAAUUUAUUUUAUAAUACUUAAGUGUCAUGAUGAUAGACUUGUUGGUAAGUAGUAGUUGGGAAUUCAGUAUUGUAGAAUUCACUGUUACGUCAUGAUUCUCCAGUCCACCCUUAUUAAAGAACGGAGUGAUUUUGAAGGAAAGCUGAUAGCUUGUUUUGAGUUCAAUCUCUACAAGUGCUUCAUAUUGUGCAGUGCUGCUACAAUGAGGAAUAAGAAUUUAAUAGCAACAGCCUUAAUAUAAUAAUGUUCAUUUAAGUAGCUGCCAUUUAUUUAAUGCCUGUCAGUGCCAGGCUCUCUUGUAAUUGUGAUUGUUAACAGGCUCCAAGUUUUCAUAACAGUUCUACAAGGGUUUUAUAAAGAAGAAACAAGAACUUAACAGAGGUUAAGCAAAGUUCUCCAACAUAAUUUCUCUGGGGAGAGUUGUAACUGGGAUCCAACUCUAGGUCAGACAUAUUCCUCACUAUAGCCCAUUUUAUCUUUUAGACAUAGUCAUCUUUUUAAAAAUUACUACCAAUAUAACAUUUUUUUUUUUUUAAGGUAGGAAAGAAAUGCCAGUGAAGAGUUGAGUGCAUCUUUAAUGGUACCUUUGUUUUGUUUUGUUUUUCUUUUUUUUUCCAAUUUAAAUUCAAUUAAUAUAUAAUGUAUUAUUGGUUUCUGAGGUAGAGGUCAGUGAUACAUCAGUCUUAAUUGUACCUUUGAAUUUGUAGGGUUGAAGGUGUGUUAAUUUAUCAAUGAAAUUGAAGAAACCUGUAAGUGGCCAUUUAUUUAGAGUCCUAUUUUUAAAAGUCAAGACAAAGUAGAGAUACCAUUUAGUAUUUAAUGUUUUCUACAAAAUAUAUAUUGAUAUAAUUGGUAAUCAUAUUUCAGCAACAUCUUUUCAAUUGAACUUUUACAUCUGUUGUGCUUUAAUGUUUAAAAAUUUAUUUUAAUUAGCUUUUGAAAUGUGUAGUAUUCAAUAAAUGGAUUGUUAAAUUAUGUAAGCUGUUUGUUUUGCUGAUUUUGAGGCAAUAUUUCCCAGAAUAGAUCAGCACUGUUGUGUAAGUGGUCUUUAUUUUUUCUUUCAAUGUUCACAUAUUCCUUAAGUGUGCUAUAGUAGUAGGUGUUAUGGAAAUUUGAUACAUCAGUUUUCUGAAUUUCUGAAGAAUUAAGCAUUUCUUUCUUUUAUAAUAGCAUCUUUUCUUCUGUGUUUAAUUUUCUAAAAUUAAAGAACAAUAAAAGAGCCAGUUACUUAAGUUCACUAUAUAAAUAAUAUAUUGAGUAAGAUUCUACAAGGAAAACCUUUAAGUACAGAAUGAAGAAUUAUUGUUGAGUAUUUGCUUUACUUUGUUUUAGUUAACCUAAAAAAUAGGACUGGAUCUUGUUUGGUUUUUCUUAAUCCCUAGAGUAGAUUGUGAUUCUUUUUUUUUUUUUUUUAACUGUUUCUAAAUGUGAAAUCAGAAUAGAAGAGAAAUAGCAUUAGUUUCAUCAGUAGUUUAAAAUAGUUUUCAGUUCAGGACCUAGAAAACAGCACAUUACCAAAUUGAGGUUGUUGGAAUAUAGUACAGUGUAACACUGGCAAAGAUGUGGUUAAAACAUUUUAAUUCAAAUAUAAGUAAAUUCAAGUAUGUACAGGAAAUGUGUUAGGAGGCUUGGCCUGGGCUAGAGAUUUUGAAUUAAUUUAAAAUUAAUGAGGGAAAAAGCCUAUUUUUUAAAAUAUUCUGGGAAAAGGGUGCCUGGGUGGCUCAGUUGUUGGGCGUCUGCCUUCGGCUCACGUCAUAAUGUCAGGGUCCUGGGAUUGAGCCCUACAUUGGGCUCCCUGCUCCUCGGGAGGCCUGCUUCUCCCUCUCUCACUCACCCUGCUUGUGUUUCUCUUUCGCUGUGUCUCUCUCUGUCAAAUAAAUAAAAUCUUAAAAAAAAAAAAAAAUUCUGGGGAAUGAUAGGGAAGAAAUUGUUAAGGCUAGAAGGAUAGUGGUCAAAAGUGGUAUUUCUCCCUCCCUAUAUCUUACCUUUGCUUUUCAAAAACCAGUAGAAGCCCAAGUUAUUCAAAAAGAUUAUCUUGUAUCCUAAGUGCCAUAAAACAGGGUCUUCCUGGUCACCCUUGGUCACUACUAGGCCUUUGGAUCUUUGUCCUUUAAAAAGAGUCAAUAAAAUGUUGAAUGGUAGACAUAGUCUUCUCCCUAAAACAGUCAACAACCCUUUGAUAUUAAGGACACAAUUGAUCUAAGGAGAGCAACUUUAUAAGGUAGUUUGUAAUUUAGGAGACAUGGAGAUGGAGUGUGAAUUACUUGUCAUAUCUAAUACCAUCAGAGCCUUUUAUUUCAGAUUUUGAACCAGUAGUCUUUAGAUUCAUGAUUUAGGAUCAAGAAAUUCAAUCCUAGAAUAUAGACAACUAAAGCAACCUUCAGGCUUUUGAUUAUCCAUUUCUUUUAGGGUCAUUUAAAGAUUAUUCUCUUGCUUUUUGCUUUAAAGUUUCGCAGAAUUCUCAAAAAAAUCUGAGAAAAAUACUUUGGGUAUUUAUCCUAAAGUGGUGAUUUUUCAGAGCCCUUCUUCCAAAGAACUGUGAUCAGUUCAGAGAGAGAUCAAGUGCUUGAUCUCUUUUCAUUUUGAACACAUUUAUCUUUAUUCAGCAGAAAGAAUACCUGGUACUGAUAGACAUCUUCAUAUAAUUAUU